Molecule: long non-coding RNA, 219 nt
Filed under: Musa acuminata (dwarf banana)
Lineage: Eukaryota; Viridiplantae; Streptophyta; Magnoliopsida; Zingiberales; Musaceae
Description: long non-coding RNA (MACU_LNC002733)
Source: RNAcentral
UGAUGUCCGCAUAUGGGACGGGUUCUAUGAUGUCCGCAUAUGGGACGGGUUCUAUGAUGUCCGCAUAUGGGACGGGUUCUGUAAUGCGCACGCUACUCGGCGUAACCGCAGAUUUGCAGCGAGGUCGACGGUGACCAUUACUGCUUAGCAGUUCUUGAAAGAUAAAGGUAAUUAUGCAUCGUAAAUUAAUUUACAGAUCUAAUGCAUGAUUUCAAAAAC